UUCUUUAAAACUAUGUGAUCAUGUUUUUUCUUCCAAACUCAUUGUUUUAGCACGCACGCUGACUUCCAUCAGUAAUGAUGAUAUAUAUACACUGAGUCAUUGGUUUGUAGGGGGAAAGAGUGGGUGAAUAUAAUUAUCUUGGUCUAACUUAUACUGUUUAUUAUACCGCUAUUCGCAGCAAUAUCUUUCUCUGCUCCGAUUGCAACGCUGCCUCGUUCAAAAAUCAUAACACCGCCGCGGCCGCCACGUUUACCAGCCGGAGCCUCAAAUCAUGUCCCUUUGUGGUGAUAAAGAGGACACAGCCUGGUGUGAAGCUACACUUAUUACGGAAGGAUGCCAGCCGGGAUCCGAACACGUCCGAUAUCAUCCAAGAGAAUGUGGCAGCUGAAGGGGGAGAGGCCAAGGGUGAAGACAUUUAGCCACUCCCCCUGAAGUACAUGGCAUCAUUCAACCCUCUUGGUGAGCUGCAGGAAUGUGCUUCCCAUUGCAGUGCACCAGCUCCAUGUACUGAUUUUGGUGUGAACUUGAUGGGGUUGGAGGAAACUCGACUUGGCCAUCAAGCUCACCACAAUAUAACAUGAAAAGUGAAAAUUGCUGCACACAACAGUCUGUCGUCUGCACCGGGAGGCAAGGCAGCUCAAAGCCCAGGCUGUUACAAAUCCUGGGCAGUUUUUGCCCAGAGCCAGCAAUUUUUUAGAUCCAAUAGGGAUGGAUUUUUUCUGAGGUCAGGUUCAACAUGCUGCAAGAUGCCAAGAUCUAAGCCUAGUAGGAGAUAUGGGUUACAAGAGAGGAGGUUUGCUCUGGCCUUAUACUUUCAAAGUCCAAAUGCUAAUAGAUUUCUG
Molecule: long non-coding RNA, 842 nt
Organism: Eriocheir sinensis (Chinese mitten crab)
Lineage: Eukaryota; Metazoa; Arthropoda; Malacostraca; Decapoda; Varunidae
Exons: 4
Source: RefSeq, a predicted model, not a curated record